UACGGAGGGGGCUAGCGUUGUUCGGAAUUACUGGGCGUAAAGCGCGCGUAGGCGGACCUGCAAGUCGGGGGUGAAAGCCCGAGGCUCAACCUCGGAACUGCCUUCGAUACUGCGGGUCUCGAGUCCGGGAGAGGUGAGUGGAAUUUCUAGUGUAGAGGUGAAAUUCGUAGAUAUUAGGAAGAACACCAGUGGCGAAGGCGGCUCACUGGCCCGGUACUGACGCUGAGGCGCGAAAGCGUGGGGAGCAAACAGG
This 253-nucleotide ribosomal RNA is filed under the name uncultured bacterium. RNAcentral describes it as "partial 16S ribosomal RNA". It matches the Rfam family "Bacterial small subunit ribosomal RNA", at positions 524 to 776 of the family's 1533-position model. The record is from RNAcentral.